Molecule: unclassified non-coding RNA, 240 nt
Filed under: soil metagenome
Description: partial contains 5.8S ribosomal RNA, internal transcribed spacer 2, and large subunit ribosomal RNA
Source: RNAcentral
AACCAUAGAAACCUGCGGAGUACCUGCGGAAGGAUCAUUACCGAGUUUACAACUCCCAAACCCAAUGUGAACGUUACCAAACUGUUGCCUCGGCGGGAUCUCUGCCCCGGGUGCGUCGCAGCCCCGGACCAAGGCGCCCGCCGGAGGACCAACCAAAACUCUUUUGUAUACCCCCUCGCGGGUUUUUAUAUCUGAGCCAUCUCGGCGCCUCUCGUAGGCGUUUCGAAAAUGAAUCAAAAC